Molecule: long non-coding RNA, 625 nt
Organism: Limulus polyphemus (Atlantic horseshoe crab)
Lineage: Eukaryota; Metazoa; Arthropoda; Merostomata; Xiphosura; Limulidae
Exons: 3
Source: RefSeq, a predicted model, not a curated record
AUCUUUGAUUUGCCUGGGACUUUUAAAUGACGCAGUUAAAGCUGCACCCUUCAGUGUCGAUCGAAUAGUCACUUUAGAAGUCACAUUAAGUAGAAUUUUCUAGAUUUUAAAAUCAUAUUCAACAGUUUAGAAUACAUCAAGAUGUUUGACAACCAUAUCAUCUUUAUAUCUUGCUCGGCUUUAAACAUUUGUACUACCAACGGGGUGAAACGUUGAAAAAAGGAAUGGUGGUUUCUAAACAAAGAAGAAAUAUACGACUCGAUGAUACAGCUCUUGACCUGUAGAGACCUCGUCUGUAACCCGUCACACGUGGCUCGUGUAGUUCUGAGAAAAGUCGACAGAAUUCCCGGAAGUAUCAUGUUAUUGGGCUGUCUUACUAGCGCAAAGAACUUUGCCUUUUUUUUAUGGUCGAAAGUUUAGAGACGGCGAUCUUAUCAUUUAGUCCCACCCUAUCAAAAAUGCGUUGUGGAUCAACAGAUGGAGAGCAGCUAAUUAAACAAUUUUACACAUUUUUUCUUGAUCGCUGGUUGUCGAUAAGAUAUUAUGAUAACGUUGCAUAAUAAAUGCCAUUGUAUUUUUAGAAGAAAAACCAUACAGUGUUUUGAAUAUACUGACAGCCUCUGUC